RNAcentral lists this unclassified non-coding RNA (1185 nucleotides) under Hevea brasiliensis (rubber tree). The record is from RNAcentral. Lineage: Eukaryota; Viridiplantae; Streptophyta; Magnoliopsida; Malpighiales; Euphorbiaceae.
GAAAAGUUUCCUGCUUCCAGGUAAAUUCUCUACAGAAAUACGGCUUACCAAUAACCGAAACAAAUAAGAACAAACAGAUUAUAAACUUGUGGUUUGGGCUUUUAUACCAUAAUUUUUCAACUGAAAUAGUUGAGUUACCAAUGAUGUGAAGCAGCUUAACAAAAGAAAGAAAAGAAAAUCAUCAAAAGUGGUUUCAAACCUUCAAUAAACACUGGCAACAACAUGCUCCACAAACUUAUUUCUUUCAACUCAGGCCCCAUUUCCAAACUAGGGGGAUUGAUUACAUGAAUUCUUUGUCAUAAUCCUGUUACCAUUGAGGCCAAACAUUCUGACUUAAUGUGGCUCUAAAUCAUUUAUACCACUUGAGCCCGUCUAAUUCUACCACUCCUAUUAUGUCAUCCUACAACUUGAAUCUACUCAUCUUCCACACCUAUGAACCCUGGGUCCACGCUCAAUAUUGAACAUAUCCAAACAAUCUAGACAACCCUCAAAACAUGUUUUUCUUACGGGGAUUAUAAAAUAUUAACUUAAUUUAAUCAUUAUCUUUUUGGUCUAAUGACCAAAAAACCCCAACUUUUCAUUUUUUUUAAAUUUUUACCCAAAUCUGUUAAUUUGAGCAAUUUUACCCAGAUUGCAAAAUUACUUUCAAUUCUACCAACCAGUCAAAAUAAAAAUAAAAGCAACAAUGUAUUAUUAAUACAAAUAAACAUAAUUUCCCAUCUUUUUUUACCCUAGAUGAUGUGAUAAGCAUCUCAUAUUGAUUAGUGUGAGUUGUUAAGCUACUAGGGGGGGGUGAUUUGUCAAAAAGAGAAACCUUCUCCAUAAGGUGUUGAUUGAAUAGAAUUCCUCUUCUUUGGAUUAUUUUCUCUUCUCUCUUCUCUUUUAGUAUUCUUCUUCUGCUCUCUCUCUCUUUUCUAUUGGAAUUGCAUCAGUGGUAUCAGAGCAAACAACCCUGGCCAUAGGUUUGCUGUUGCUAAUUCUUCCUCUCCCCUUCCUCGUUCUUGAACCUACCAAUUUACCCAUGUUCUUCUAUUCUUUCCUUUCCUUUCUCUUCUGUUCUCAUUCUCCCUAUUCUUUCUUUCUCUUCUGAUUCCACCUAAUUUCUUCUCAAAAAAAUUCUUCUUUCUUUCUUGAAAUCUUGAAUUAAAUUCUUUCUUCUUCUGUUGCUUUCUGGUUCUUUCUUCU